Molecule: long non-coding RNA, 1199 nt
Organism: Pygocentrus nattereri (red-bellied piranha)
Lineage: Eukaryota; Metazoa; Chordata; Actinopteri; Characiformes; Serrasalmidae
Source: Ensembl
CAUCUAUCCAUCUAUCUAUCUAUCUAUCUAUCUAUCUAUCUAUCUGACUACAUUUUUGCAUAAUAACCAAAGGAAAUGACCAUUGUGUUCCUAUCACUGCCACUGCAUAGAAAUGUGUGUAAUUUAUCUAAAGCGCACCAUUUCACAUCAAAACAUGCUAAAUGACUGUUUACAUUUCACUAGUUGGAUUAUGGAGAAAGUUUGCAAAAUCUGUGGAAUUUAGUGUCCCUUUAGUGUCCAGUCAUUUAUGACAGCGCAGAUACCUACACAGAUGUUUUGACUCACCCAAUGGAGGAGGAAACUGAUUUUCCCUCCACUUUACUCCCCUCCCUCAAAAUAAUCAAUGGGAAGAUCCAUUUAAAGCAAAGUCCCACCUGCUCUCUACUGGGAGCCAAUUAUUUGAAGUAAUGUAGGCCUGGACGUCACACCCACCUUUACUCAACACCAAUAGGAAUGCAGGCGUUGUAGUUGGCCUUCAGAGGAAAAAAUGGAAUUUAUGUACGCCUCACUAACCAGCUGCAAAUGUGUCCCCCACGGAGGUCGUGCUUUUGGGACUUUUUGUAGGUGGCUUUAGUAUGGGAAGUAGACAACAAUGGCUAACGAGGCUGAAGAAUGAGCUGAGCAAUAGUCCUCUGGUCUCCAACGUGGCCUUUGGCUUCAUCCUCAUGGGACUGGAGAAGCUGGUCGAGCUGGAGUUUGAGUGUCCUUGCAACCCGACGUGGAACGGACUGUUCUCCUCAGCCUUCUUCAUCAUCCCCGCCGUCAUGGCCUUCACGCUCAUGCUGAUCAUCCAGGGCUGCAGGUGCGAUACGUGGAGCCGCAAGAGCGUGUCCUUCUCCAGCGUGGUGCCCGCGGUCGUCUGGCUCAUUUUGGUCUUCCUCGACGGCCAGUACUUCGCCUGCGCGAUGACGGACUGGGAGGGCAGGUUCGUCAUCGUGGACAAAGCGGCUCCGCAGAAAUGGUGCGAGCCGGUGAAAGAAGAGGACGAAGAGGAAAGCCCGACGCCUCGGGAGCUGAUGCUCCGCUCCCAGCAGCUCUUCGUCGUGUCUCAGGUUAUCGGCAUAAUGCUGCUGAUUUUUAUCUGUGCUGGACUGGUAGUGUAUGUGAUUAGAGAGAGCUGCCGGAGGGACUUCCAAUCCCAGGAUGCCAAUGUAGCGGAAAUGACGUACACCCCCAGCUCGAGGGCGAGAACAUCAUGA